This is a non-coding RNA of Hemibagrus wyckioides, 350 nucleotides long. NCBI's taxonomy places the organism in Eukaryota, Metazoa, Chordata, Actinopteri, Siluriformes, Bagridae. The record is from the annotation of a RefSeq genome assembly.
UAAGACCAGUCAUCAUGUUCACUGUUAUAUUCAUGUAUCUGUGGCUUUCACUAGGUGACUCCAUGGCAGAUUCAAUAGAGCCACUUUUAGAGCCUCAUAAAGCUGUAGAUGAAGGUGAUGAUGUUACUCUCUCCUGCAGAUACAAAUUCAGUAAUUCUUUAGGAAACAACUACCUCCACUGGUACAGGCAAUAUCCAAAAUCUAAACCUGAGUUCCUUCUUAUUGUUAACCAAAAAGGAAAUCUAAUUUCCAACACUGACCCAAGAAUGUCUGUUAAAGUUGAUGAUAAACAAGUGGAUCUGAUCAUCUCCUCUGCUGCUGUAUCAGACUCUGCUCUAUACUACUGUGCU